Molecule: long non-coding RNA, 4419 nt
Organism: Ictalurus punctatus (channel catfish)
Lineage: Eukaryota; Metazoa; Chordata; Actinopteri; Siluriformes; Ictaluridae
Source: Ensembl
CUUUAUACUGAUGCUCAGAUCGACGCAAAUGUGAACAGUAAGGGGAGACGUGGAAGAUAUUACUUUUUAAAACUUUUUCUCAAGUGAAAGUCAAGCAUUUAUUCCCAGCGGGGCGGAUAAUGUACAGGAACACGUAUGUGCUUGUUGUUGCAACACGGAACGUUUUAAUCGACGCACUCGCCAAACUGGAGGUUUGGCUGGAACACUCGGCUUUACCCGAGGCAGGACGCUUGUCUGCCGUUUAGCAUGGCGUUUUUCAGGACGGACGGAUUUCUUCUCUGCUUGGGUUUCACCGUGGAGGACGCGGAGGAGAUAAAGAGAGCGCACCUGUUUCAUUUUCUCAGUAAGCAGAGAGGAGCUCAGGGGAAAAUAGCUCCCGCGUUCUAGUAUAGUCGCUGGGAUGACGUCAUCAGAUGAUGUCAUCGGCUAAUUUACAUAUUCAGUUUAAUUGUCGGGAGCAUUUGCAUAUCAGCGUUUGUUGCAUGAAAUAAUAGGUGUAUUUUCGGGGGGGGGGGGGAUAGAAAAUAAGUAAGCAAAAAAAAAAAGGCUUGUGGAUGCGCUGUUGUGACGUGUAUCAUGCACUCACCAGUGUGUUCAAUCAACGUAUCGGGCUGCGUCACACCAACCAGUAGUUGAUAGUUUUCCUAUAACCACACAUUCUGAAGAACAGUUCACCAAUGAUUACAGUUUGAAUGUAUUAAUGAACACGACAUCAUUUUUUUAUCCCUUCAUACUUGCGUUUAUCGUGUGUCGUGUUCACGAGACCAGUUAUCUCAGUCUGUUAUACAGUUGAAUUUGGGGAAACCACUUGAUGCAUUCGUUGUGUUUAACUAUUUUCAAUUAAAUUUUAUUUGUAUAGUGGUUUUUACAAUGGGUAUUGUUUCAAAGAAGCUUUACAGAAACAUAUAAACACAGGACACAGAUUUUAACCGUGUGAAUUUAUCCCGAAGGGAUAAACUCCGAAGGGAACACGUCCUCAUCUGGGUAACAAUGCAUAGUGUGAAAGUAAAGGGAAGUUCAUUGUGGUUUUUAUAUGAAGUCUGUUUCAAUUCCUUCUGUUUGAUUUGUUCGUUACAAACAGCGGAAAGUCUUUAAAUUUUGACAAUGAAUCUGAUAUGCAGUGGGGGUCGAAUAAUAAUUUUGACUACAACUGUACAGGGUGUCCCAAAAGUCUCCAUACACAAGGGACUGAAUAUGUUUGCCAGCAACACGUAGGUUGUGCCUUCGGCAGUGGAAGUUCAUGGAGGUCCACUUCCAGGUCGGUCCGCAACACUUCCAGUCUUUUUGAAUUUGUUCAUUAGUUCAACCAUCGAUCAGUGCCCUGAAUACUGAACUAGGGAGCUGGUUCAGACACACCCAGAGAAUGUUCCAUGAUGCCCUUAUUAUUGCUUAAUACAAAGUAGGUUACAGAUUUCGGUAUUAGGCUCGGUGAAUACCAAAAAACUUACCUGUAGUUGGACUGAGAAAAUUAUAUCGAUGGCUUGUUAAUCAAAGAUAUCGACCGUAUGAUCACUACUGAACGGUUUUCUUAUGGAAAAUGGACAACAGAACAAAUAAUAGCAGAGUAUAGAGAUGUCGUUACAGGUCAUGGCUGUCCGGACAGGGAAUUCUACAUGCCCUCUUUAAAGUGUGAGACACUUCCAGAGAGAAGACUGACCUGAUGAAUCCUGAAAAAGGAGCUGGUAAAUCUUCAUAGGCUGGGAAUCAUCACGAAUUGAGAUGCUAACUUGACACUGUUCUGACAAAAGAGUGCAACAAGAAGAAGAUUUGUUGUUUACUGUUGUGACAUUUUGUAUUUUGUGCUGUAGUACUCAGAAAACGUUGUAACUGUACAUGUACAUUAGGGGAAAAAAUCAGUGCUGCGCCAUCUUACUUUACUACAUGUGAUGGACCUUUGAAGGUAGUUUGGAAAAUAAUAUGUACUUACAAUAUUUUUCAUAAUGUGUCAUAUUUGCUGAUGCGGAGCUCCUGAAGACGGUAUCCUUUUUUAUGGUUAAACAAUAAUGACCAUGGCUCCCAUAGGUUAUUGGUGUGUAAAUGUUUUUAUGAUUUAAAAAAAAAAGGGAUUAGGUCAUCUAAUGGGACUCUGCUUCAAUUCCACCUUUUACUAUUCUUAAUAGUCACAGGAAAAUGUAUAAUAGGAGUUUGGAACUGUUAGGAUUUCGAAAGCAUUAUCAGGGAGUACAUAAAAACAUGUUUAUCAAGUAAUGGCUCUCUUAAUCAUUGAAAGCACCCAACCUUGAACCACAGUCAUCAUUCUGAAAUGCAUGCCUCCCUGCUCGCUGAGCCACCAGUACAAACACAAACCUGCUCCUAUGGGUCAUGCAGAAGGCAAAACCUUAACAAGCACUGGAUUACUUGUGGGUUAUUGGACAAUGGUAUUCAGGAUAAACACUAAGGUAGGUGAAGCCUUGUGGCUCUGUGGGAAUGCACUUGCCUCCCAUUGUUGUAGUUGAUGGUUCAAAUCCCCCUUGUGGGUUUCCCCCCCCCCUUUGGUGACAGUUAAAAAGGAUAAAUAUGUUUAACCAAAAAGAUUUUCAGUUAGAGUUCAUGUCAACGAUGGUGUUCCAGAAGGUGUGGGUUCUCUUCUACCUUUUGGCUACACGUGUGCCAUCGCUAUCCCUUGGUGGUGUAGUGGUUAGAGUUCAUGUGUGUGGGUUUUCAGGUUAUAACCCUCCUUUUGGCAGGUUCAAGAAUCAAAAGUGAUGCUGUGGAAGUAUGAAGGUGUGAUGGAGGGAGUGGUGUGUAGGCCUCUGUGGCUCAGUUGGCUAAGUCGUGAGUGCUGUGGAGCAGAAGGUGCUUGGAUCAAAACCCAGAAGGAGUGGCGUGGUUGGAGUUUGAGGGAUUGAGAGCAUGGAGGUGAGUGAGUGUCUGGUGCUCUAGCAGUUGUAGGUUGGGAGAUAGGUUGAGGAAGGGGUAGAGGAUUGGGUGAGUGAGUGUCUGGUGCUCUAGCAGUUGUAGGUUGAGGAAGGGGUAGAGGAUUGGGUGAGUGAGUGUCUUGUGCUCUAGCAGUGGUAGGUUGGGAGAUUGGUUGAGGAAGGGGUUGAGGAAGGGGUAGAGGAUUGGGUGAGUGAGUGUCUGGUGCUCUAGCAGUUAUAGGUUGAGGAAGGGGUUGAGGAUUGUCAAGUCACUUGUAGAAGUGGUGGAGUACAGAUGAGGGAUGUUCACUCAAGGGUGAGAGAGGGAGGACUAGGUUGGGUGUAAAAGAGAGGUUGAGUGGGUAUGAGCUCAGGAUGUGGUGGAGCAAGGUUGUGCUGUGAAGGAGGUAGGAGAGUGCACACCCUACAGUGCAGACCAAGAAUGUGUGGUGAGGGGUGUGCACUGGGGGCUGGUGGAGAGGAAGAGCCAGGCCUCACUUUUAUAAAAGGAAAUUACCCUGCUACAGCCCUAAUAGUAAUAAUAUAUUCUUAAAUGGCUUGGGAUCACAGGGUCUACUAAUAGGAAGAAUAAAUGUAAUAUCUACAGCUCCACUGCUGGCUCUCACACACCCCACUUCCUGAGACUCUACCUCUAUUCCUUUCCUACACCUAUCCCCCAGCUCCCUUCCCCUGGGUACACAGCCCCUGACUUUUUAGCCACACUCUCUGUUUGCUCUCCAGGCUGUGCACCCAGCUCUUCUUGGGACUCCACCUCUACCCUCCUCCCUACACCAGCUCCCCUGAGGUACCUGACACUCUACCUCCAACCACCACCUUCCUGCACCCAUCUAGCCUCCACCCACUUACAACUCCUCCUGGAACACCACCUACAACCACCAGAGUACCCUUCCUACACCAUUCACCCCACCACUACCACCACCACUACUACUACUACUACCACUGUAGCCUUCCUACACCCAUCCCCCAGCCUACACACUCCAACCAUCCCCACAUUUUCUAUAAGCCAAGAACUCUUGUUGGGUUUUGAUCCAAGCACCUUCUGAUCCACAGAGGCAACCACUCAACCAGUUGAGCCACAGAGUCUCUCAGAUAGCGCUGCUUCCAUCACACCUUCAUACUGCUUCACACUGCUUUUAUUCUUAAAAGUGCUGCUCCUGCCAAGAGGAGGGUUAGAACCUGCACAAAUAACAACCACCACACAAACCUGGCCAUGAACUCUAACCACUACACCACAGAUGCACAGGAAAAGAUGCUGUUUGUUGGACUUUUGUCAUUAUAAAUCACUUCUUGAGGAGCCAAAAGGCAGAACAGAACCAACACCUUCUGGAAGGCCCCAAUACUGACACAAACCACUACACCAAAGAGGAAGAGAAGUAACAUCUGUGUGAGAGUGUGUGUUUUUUGAACUUCAUGAAACACUUCACAAUGCAACAGCACAGUUUAUUCUAAAACCUGCAAAAAAGAGGGUUAGAACCUGCACAAACUACAACACAAACACUGCUCCACUAACCGGACUGUCUCUUUCUUUUUCUGGAUUUAG